Molecule: ribosomal RNA, 429 nt
Filed under: bacterium
Lineage: Bacteria
Description: partial 16S ribosomal RNA
Rfam family: Bacterial small subunit ribosomal RNA
Source: RNAcentral
UAGGGAAUCUUCCGCAAUGGGCGAAAGCCUGACGGAGCAACGCCGCGUGAGUGAUGAAGGUCUUCGGAUCGUAAAACUCUGUUAUUAGGGAAGAACAAAUGUGUAAGUAACUGUGCACGUCUUGACGGUACCUAAUCAGAAAGCCACGGCUAACUACGUGCCAGCAGCCGCGGUAAUACGUAGGUGGCAAGCGUUAUCCGGAAUUAUUGGGCGUAAAGCGCGCGUAGGCGGUUUCUUAAGUCUGAUGUGAAAGCCCACGGCUCAACCGAUGAGGGUCAUUGGAAACUGGGAAACUUGAGUGCUGAAGAGGAAAGUGGAAUUCCAUGUGUAGCGGUGAAAUGCGCAGAGAUAUGGAGGAACACCAGUGGCGAAGGCGACUUUCUGGUCUGUAACUGACGCUGAUGUGCGAAAGCGUGGGGAUCAAACAGG